UAGUCUCCGCUUGACACGUGGAACU
Molecule: non-coding RNA, 25 nt
Filed under: Mus musculus (house mouse)
Lineage: Eukaryota; Metazoa; Chordata; Mammalia; Rodentia; Muridae
Source: RNAcentral